This 169-nucleotide ribosomal RNA is filed under the name uncultured bacterium. RNAcentral describes it as "partial 16S ribosomal RNA". It matches the Rfam family "Bacterial small subunit ribosomal RNA", at positions 338 to 524 of the family's 1533-position model. The record is from RNAcentral.
CCUACGGGAGGCAGCAGUGGGGAAUCUUAGACAAUGGGGGAAACCCUGAUCUAGCCAUGCCGCGUGUGUGAUGAAGGCCUUAGGGUCGUAAAGCACUCUCGCCUGUGAAGAUAAUGACGGUAGCAGGUAAAGAAACCCCGGCUAACUCCGUGCCAGCAGCCGCGGUAAU